UUCAUUUAAUUAAGUAUUACAAAUACAAACCCUUCAAUUUAUCUCUCAGUCGCCGACUCUCUCCGACCAGAAUUUUUUUUCCAACAUUUUGUAGUCGUCGUCUCUCACUCCAAGGUCGACAUGACGACGCCAUCUAGAGAAGCUUUAUGAUUUGAUAUUGAGGAAUAAGAUAGCAAGAAGAUGGGGUUACAAUGAUGGCUAAUAACGUACUCUCCUAUGUUGAGGUCAAGGAUGAGAAGAUAGAAUUGUUGUUGUAGAUAUGAAUUCUUCCUUGAAUUGCACACCUUUUUUUGUUUUUAUUUUUGUUAAGACAUUGUAUACAUCUAUUUUUCUAGUCAAUAUAGUAUGAAUACUGAAUAAUGGAAGAUAGUUCUUGUAUUGUUUCAUGAAUUUGGUUCAGUUUGUAAUGAUGAUUAUUUAUUUUUUUAUCAUUACGAAAUAUUGUGUUUAA
Molecule: long non-coding RNA, 451 nt
Organism: Erythranthe guttata (spotted monkey flower)
Lineage: Eukaryota; Viridiplantae; Streptophyta; Magnoliopsida; Lamiales; Phrymaceae
Source: RefSeq, a predicted model, not a curated record